GAUGUGGCUGAAAGGGGGGGGGGCAACAUGAACAGGAUAACACUGCCCAGAACAUGUUCCUGGUGACCUGCGUCCUCUAACUAGGCCCCAUCUGGGACAACACUGAACGACACCACAGAAGCUACUGGACAGUGUAGUGAACUCAGGCUGUUGAAUGGUUCAGUGUUUCCAAGACUAAAGAUGAAAAAUCAUCCAGAAUAAUAAAGCAAAGGGUAUAAA
Long non-coding RNA from Peromyscus leucopus (white-footed mouse), 219 nucleotides. RefSeq lists it as uncharacterized. The record is from RefSeq and is a predicted model, not a curated record. The transcript has 2 exons. NCBI's taxonomy places the organism in Eukaryota, Metazoa, Chordata, Mammalia, Rodentia, Cricetidae.